Molecule: ribosomal RNA, 253 nt
Filed under: uncultured bacterium
Lineage: Bacteria
Description: partial 16S ribosomal RNA
Rfam family: Bacterial small subunit ribosomal RNA
Source: RNAcentral
UACUAAGGGGGCUAGCGUUGUUCGGAAUUACUGGGCGUAAAGCGUGCGCAGGCGGUUCUUCAAGUCAGUGGUGAAAGCCCGGAGCUCAACUCCGGAACUGCCAUUGAAACUGUAGAGCUAGAGUACGAGAGAGGUGAGUGGAAUUCCCAGUGUAGAGGUGAAAUUCGUAGAUAUUGGGAAGAACACCGGUGGCGAAGGCGGCUCACUGGCUCGUAACUGACGCUGAGGCGCGAAAGCGUGGGGAGCAAACGGG